Molecule: ribosomal RNA, 253 nt
Filed under: uncultured bacterium
Lineage: Bacteria
Description: partial 16S ribosomal RNA
Rfam family: Bacterial small subunit ribosomal RNA
Source: RNAcentral
UACGGAGGGUGCGAGCGUUAAUCGGAAUUACUGGGCGUAAAGCGCACGCAGGCGGUUUGUUAAGCUAGAUGUGAAAGCCCCGGGCUCAACCUGGGAUGGUCAUUUAGAACUGGCAGACUAGAGUCUUGGAGAGGGGAGUGGAAUUCCAGGUGUAGCGGUGAAAUGCGUAGAUAUCUGGAGGAACAUCAGUGGCGAAGGCGACUCCCUGGCCAAAGACUGACGCUNAUGUGCGAAAGUGUGGGUAGCGAACAGC